GUGGGGAGUGUAGAUUUGCAUAAACGCUCUCACUCACUGCCCCAAAGGACCUGAAGAGGGAAUAAGAGGAGCUUCGGGGAGCCCAGCUGGGCCGUGGGGUCUCAGCACGCAGAGCCCUGGGGCGUCUUCACCAUGGCCUGGACCCCUCUCCUCCUCCCCCUCUUCACUCUCUGCACAGGCUCCGUGGCCUCCUAUGAGCUGAUUCAGCCACCCUCUGUGUCAGUGGACCCGGGACAGACGGCCUUAAUCACCUGCUCUGGGGAUCUACUGAGUAAAAAUUAUGCUUACUGGUACCAGCAGAAGCCCGGCCAGGCUCCCAGGCUGGUCAUUUACAAGGAUAGUGAGCGGCCCUCAGGGAUCCCUGACCGGUUCUCGGGUGCCAGCUCAGGGAACACGGCCACCCUGACCAUCAGCGGAGCCCGGACUGAGGACGAGGCCGACUACUACUGUCAGUCAUAUGACAGCAGUGAUAAUACUCACAGAGACACAGGCAGGUGGGCAAGUGAGACACAAACCCCUUCUGUUUGUGUCCCCUCCGGCCCCCGGAGGGCGUAGACAAAGCAUGGGAGCAGGUGGCACAGUUCCCCAUAUCUGAGACUGCCCCGCAGCGUCCCCACCUGCGGCUGGCAGCUCUGCAGGGUCCGGAUCAGAAGUGCAUCGCAGCUGCGGGCUGAGGCGGUUUUCUUGUCCUCAGCUGGAGUGGG
Molecule: non-coding RNA, 704 nt
Organism: Manis pentadactyla (Chinese pangolin)
Lineage: Eukaryota; Metazoa; Chordata; Mammalia; Pholidota; Manidae
Source: the annotation of a RefSeq genome assembly